Scophthalmus maximus (turbot) is the source of this 11339-nucleotide RNA transcript. It is a transcript of the gene named PR domain containing 2, with ZNF domain a, with no coding region annotated. The record is from RefSeq and is a predicted model, not a curated record. The transcript is spliced from 5 exons. Lineage: Eukaryota; Metazoa; Chordata; Actinopteri; Pleuronectiformes; Scophthalmidae.
UUUUCUUCUUCGUCCCCUUCUUCUUCUUCCAGCGCUUCAACAAACCUGUUGCUGAUUGGUCUUAAUGUGACAUCCACAUUCUCUGACCAAUGAGAACGCCGGAACCGUGUUUGUUGCAUAAAAGGAAGAGAGAAAACGCACACACUAAUGUCCACAACCUGCACGAGAAGAUUACAUCAAAGCUUUCCACGACACUCAACCUCAAACACAACAGAAAGACACAACUUUGUGAUCCUUGAUCAAAUAAACAUGCCUUCUACACUUCACUGACCAUUAAAAUGGUUUGAAAACUAUCAGUUUUGUGUGACAGACUUCCCUCCAAGAUCUGCAUAUAACCUCAACAGGAGAUGGAGGAAUCCGCUCACCCAUACUGCUCUGACUUUGGAGACAAUGAGGAUAUGGAGGAGGAGGGGGACAUUUAUCGAGAGGAAACUGACAUGGUUACCUCUCUAUACCAAGAUCUUCACAAACAUCCCAAUCAGGAUACUGAGAGAGUUUGGGAGUCUUUUCCCUGCCAGCACUGUGAGAGACAUUUCACCAGCAAGCAAGGCCUGGAACGACACAUGCACAUCCACGCUUUGGCUAACAACGAGGCACAGCCAUACAAAAGCAAUAAGAGCGACAUGUCUUUAGGUUCAAAUCUAGGUCAGCCGCAGCAUGAGAAGAUGAAGCCACUGGAUCGUCAUACUUUAUCCCCCACGACCUCUAAUACUUUCAUUUUGUCAGCCGAAGACCACACGGCUCAGCCAGACAAACAGAGAGAAUUAGAUAGUCGCAUGUUCCACGAGCAGCACCUGCAACUCGUACAUGAAGAAAACAAAGAGCUGCCUGAGGAGGAAAGUCUUCAGAGCAUUUUCAUUGAAACGUCUAAACUGGAAACACAGCUUGGCGACAACAUUGCACCUGCUACUGUUCUGGGGAAUGAGGGGCAACACACAGAACAAUACAUGCUAGACGUUUCUAGCAAUGUUUCGGAGAAUCUCAGCUUUUACAUUGGUGGAAAGAUAGUGUCGACAAGUACAGUAAGUAGCUGCGAAGCGGCUGAGGUUCAUUCAGGUUCUUCAGCUUUAGUUGGACUGGAUGCCCUGAUUCUGGACCCCACCCAAAUCAGCCAGAUUUUGAAUACAGAUUCAGUUCCAGGCAAAGAGAUACCUGGUCAACCACUUGCUAAGAGGAGAACUGCUACACCGCCUCUCUUACCACAAAUUAAAACUGAACUGGAGUCUGAAGUGGUGGUGUCCUCUUCCUCCUCAUCCCUUGUAUCCUCACUAAUUGAGAAUCUGCUUCCUCUGCAUACAGAGUCCACCGUUGUGCAGAAGGAGAGAACAGUGUUUCUGUCUCCUAAGCUGAAGCAGCUUCUGGAGAAGCAGGAUGGCCUUAACCCGACAUUUGCCCUGAUCACAGAUGGUGAGAAGCCCUGUUCGCCUGUCUCUCUCUCUGUCCUGCCCGCUGGAACAGGAAGGUUUAAAAGAAGGACCGGGUCUCCAACAGGUUCCCCACAGCAAAACCCAACAUCGAACGAAGAAACGCCGACGCCAGAUUCUGAAAAUUUUGUUGCUGAAAGUACAGGACAGUUGGAGCCCCAGCAUAUCUCACCUGUGCAUCUAACAGCCAGUGAGAAGGAGGACUCGCCGCCAGCUGUGGAGGAGCCAGCAGUGACACCUGUCUCAACAGAGAGCUGGCCCCCCUUGACUGGUGGCAAUUCCUGUAACCAGCAACCACUAGAUCUCUCUAACACAGUCAAAAGAAACGAAGAUUUAGCUUUAACUGAGGCCGUGCUGGAUUUAAGUUUGCAGAAAAAGAUCUUCGGUGAAUCUGAGCUGAUGCUAAAUUUAGUUUCGCAGGUGCUUUUGGAAGAAGUUACAUCAAACACAUGCAUGGUGGAGAAACCCUUAAUGAAUAUCGGAGAGCAAAAUGUAAGCGUGGGGAAUUCUGAGACUCAUUUAGUCACGGACUUUAACAUAGUCACUGGUUCAGAUAUGGUGACCCCAGUUGCAGAAAGACUUGUUUAUGGACUUGCCCUACCCCCGACUUCUCUAACCCCAUCAUCCACCUGCCUCACCUCUGUUGCCUUCCCACCAGCUACACCAUGUACUAUAGCAUUUUCUUCCCCUGCCUCUCACACCAUGCUCUCUUCUGCACCUUCAUUAAUCACAGUUUUGGCACCACCACCAGCCAUUAAUAACCCUUCAAUCCAACCAAUCCAAGUAUUAGGCCCUAAUAUAUCUCCUGAGCCCUUGGUCAUCUGCACAGAAAAUGCAUUAAACUCUCCAGAGUGCAAUUUAACCGCUGCAUUUGCCACCACAAAUUCCGCAAACCUUGUCACUCUCUCCCAGCCCCUCGACUCGACUUUAAAUCUGCCGGGCAACGUGUUUCUCACCGAUCAGAUUUCUCUCAAUCCACCUAUUGUUGACUCAACUCCUGUGUCAGAAGUACCAUUCGCACCCACUGUAACUUUAAAUGACUCCCUCAUCAACUCUUUUAACAUUACCAGUAACACGGUGUUGAUAGAGUGCACAAUAGCGCUCGACACCCCAGGCAGUGUAGUCCCUGCUUCAAUUUCCUUACAAGAAAACCCUUCUGAGGAUCCAGUACCUACACAGAUGGUUGUUAAUCACAUCGAACAGCAACAGAUUGUAUCAGUGCCCGACGCUCAAACUCUGGACCCCACAAUUCUUGUGUCCACCAUUGCAGAAUCAGUAACUCUGUCCACUACCACCACCUCAAUGGUGUCUGAUUGUCCCUCUUUGGGGGAAUCGAGUCCCAACCCAGAACCUGCAGUUAAUGCAAAAACACCAACCAUAAAAGAAGAAGAAGAAGCUGCUGACGAUGUUGUAUCCAUACCUGAAAUACCAUCUAAAACUUCCCCCUCUUUUGAGAAAGCUGAACAGGACAAAUCCUCAAAUGACACACCAGGUGACGCACAACAGCAGACUUUCACCAAGAACUUCAUCUGCAAUGUGUGCGAUAAGCUUUUCCAUUCAAUGAAAGAACUCGGCCAUCACGUAGGUGACCAUGCUGCUGAAUGGCCCUACAAAUGUGAAUUCUGCGUGCUGCUCUUCGGUAGGCCCUCUGCUUUGCUCGACCAUCGAUCAAGCCUCCACGGUGUGGGCAAGACUUAUGUAUGCAGUGCAUGUACAAAAGAGUUUGUCUACCUCUGCAAUCUGAAACACCAUCAGGAGGAAUUGCACCCUGGCCAGCAGUGUACAUACACAGAAGAAGAAAAGGGCAAACUAAGACCUCAAAACUACAACAACUCGACAAAAGUCACAGCGGAGCCUUCAGUGCCCCACGUUCCAGAGGAUCCCAAGACAGUAGUGAAAAAGGAGGAAAGUGAAGUAGAUGUGGCCGCUGAGGAGCUGUUUACAACGAUAAAAAUCCUGGCCUCAGAUGGAGGGAAAGUUAAAGGACCAGACGUCCGUCUUGGCAUUAACCAACACUAUCCCAGCUUCAAGCCUCCUCCAUUUCCUUACCACAACAGGUCGCCCGCCGGCUCAGUGGCUUCAGCGACAAACUUCACCACCCACAACAUCCCACAAACGUUUAGUACAGCCAUUCGGUGCACCAAGUGUGGAAAGAGCUUUGAUAACAUGCCAGAGCUACACAAGCAUAUCCUGGCUUGUGCAAAUGCCAGCGAUAAAAGGCGAUACACACCAAAAAGGAAUCCUAUCCCUCUAAGGCACGUUGCAAAAACCCAGAACGGAGUGCUGUCGACUACUAAUUCUACUAACGGACUAAAUGCUUCCAACAGGGCCAGCCACUCAAACAGGUCCAAACCCAAUCAAGAGUCGCCAAUGAAAAUGAAAUUCAAAGUACUGAGCAAAAGGAAGAAAAAGUUGGUCCAAAGGGUUAUGCCACAGAGGAACAAGUCAGUUUCAUCUUCAAAUAAAGCGACGCCCACACAGGUGGAUGUGCAGCACGAGGUGUUUGUCUGCCCACACUGUAGCAGGGAGUUCAGCAUGCGUCGCAGCAGAACCAAACACAUGGCCGUGUGCCCCAAGAAACCUAAAGAGGUGAAGAAAAGAAAAGAAGGGGGAAUCUCUGUGACAAAGGAAAACGACCAACGCCUGCACAGAGGGAGCUCUCGCGCUGAAGAGAAACGACAACAAGCCUCACCUCAGCAUAAAACUAGAUUCCAGACCUCUGGCCUCGCGAAGAGGCCGGCCAUCCUACCAGUGCAGACUGUCUUUUCAAACAAAAGAAGUAAAAUAAUCAUAAAGGAGAGCAUGCAGCCAAAACAGGAGACGCCCACUCUGAAUGAACUUCCCAUUGUUCGCACUUUCAACCCCUCUAUGCGCCAGUACAGCCGAGUGCAGCAUGGCGUCAAAGGAAUUCCCAUUAAAAUCACCAUCGUGAAACCACGAUCAACUGCACCGCAGAGGGAUGAGCUGCUUCCCACCCAGAGCCGAGAGGAAACCACUGGAGAUGUUUCCAGCAGCUCUGAGCAGAGCGCUUCAACUUGAAGACAACCCCACGGCCGACAGAGGAUCAGAAGAAGCGACUGGGAACAUCUCACCUUUAAGCUGGUCAACAUCAUCCAGGGUCCAGUUCGUCCAGUAAGGCUCACUGCAGCGCCACACUGGAGCACUAAUGAGCUGGCAGAGAGCAGCAGCCCCGACGCAGAUCUCCCAUCAGCUGAGGAGCAGCAGCAUCUCUGACGGCGUCUGAGGCAACGAGACAAGAGGACUGAUCUGCAGUCAGAGCGGGAGGCAGCCGGUGCGAAGCCCUGGGAAAGGCGCAGGAGAGGUCGUGAGGUGGCUCCGGAGGCAAUUUAGCACUCAGGCGAGAGAGAGAGUGAGAGAGAAGGAGAUUGCUCCGGCGCAACAGCCGGACCUGCCCCCGCGCUCAGGAGGCUGACCCUCAGUGCACUUUCUGUUGCCGAAGACGACGGACCUCCCCCCCCCCCAGAGGAGCUCGGCCAUGGAGGAGAUGCUCACCUGCAGACGGAGCCCCUUCUCCCAGGUGUUUGGGCGUCAGGGUCAGCUCAUGCAAGCCAGUGAGUGUUCACAUCCACACGCAAGUCUGCAAAAUAUCAAAAUGACAAAGUUUUCUUGACCUUGUUUGGCUCUGGUUGAGCGUAAGCCUGAUGCAUGCAGUGAAAAAAUGGGUGCAGCCUCUGGUAUUUUUGUUUUUUAAUGUUAAGCACAAAUACAGAGUGGACUUUACAGACCGUCUUUAAAGUGGACUAUUUUUUAAAUAUGGCACCGUAAUGUAAAUCCUGAAAAAAUAAGGUGGUUAGGGAGCCAACAGUUGAAAAUGAUUGUCCCACAAAAAAAAUUGUACAUCAGUAUCACAUUGUUUUUAAAGAAGCAUCUGGUGCAAUUCAUAAUUUAGUUCUGAACUCAAUGGGACUGUUUCAAUUUUAGAGAUAUUACAUAAGUGGGUUAUGUAUUAAUCAAUUUAAUAAUUUGUAGAGUAGUGCAUAUUUCAACACAAAUAUGUAUUAAUGUUGAUAGUAUGCGAUGUUCCUUUGGUAUGGGAAACAGAUGCGAAAAGGUGUGUCUGUGUGGGUGUGUGUGUGUGUGUGUGUGUGUCUGUGUGUGUGUGUGUGUGUGUCUGUGUGUGUGUGUGUGUGUGCAGACCUCACCUUGCGUAACAUCCUUUGAUCUUUGCCUGACCAAACAUACCACGUGUAAAAAGAAGGAAACAAAUGGUCACCAGCAGAAAAAAAUUGACAGUUGAUACAGUUAACAUUCAAAAAUUGUACACAACUUGAUCAAAUACAUAACGUAAUAUAAUCCAAUAUAACAAUAAAUGCCUUUGUGACGUUGAUAAUGUUUGAUUUUUGUUGUGAUGCAGGUGUCACAAGUGUUUCUUUAUCAAACAGGAAUGUACAUUGAACUUGUUCAUUAAUUCACAUGAAGUUUAACAGGAUUUCAUCCUGGCAAAUACGUCUGAGGCUGCUGAGUUAGUUUGCAGUGAAAAAUAGAUGAUGUUUGCUCACAAUUAUGCUUAUGCACUUCAUGGGGAUUUUUUUUUUUUUAAAUGAACAUUUGAAGAGAUUUUAUAUAACACAAGUCCUAGACACCCACAGCCUCCAUUUCAACUCUGCCUAUGUGGGUGCGUUCAUAACUGUAUGUAUUAUUUGUAUGACUAUGUAUUUUCUGUGUACGUGACUUGGUCCAGUAGGAAUUGUUUGCUUGAGCUUUGAGACUCUGUGACUAAUUUCUUUUUUCCGCAUCUGCCAGCAUGAAAUAAUCUGCCUGAGGUGAUCAGUUACAAGGUGUCACAAAAUUCCUUCAACAGAAAACGGGAGCCUUUGGCCACGGCUGACCUACGUUUGAGUAUUGGGGUCAGGCAUGAAAAAAAAAUGAGAGAAGCAACUUUUGAGAGUAAAAAUGAAAUGUUGAGAAUAAAGUCAACUCCUCUGGUCCUUCAAAUCCAGUUAGCGGAGCGGCUGGCAGCAAUGCGAGCUGGCAGAGUGUUUCAUCAUAGGAGUGUAGGGUUUUAACCAUCAGUAUCCUUUGCCUUCGUCCAUUAUCAGCUAUUUCAGUCUGCUGAGACUCUUCUUUGUAGUGUUUGCUGAUGUGCUUGUAGUGAUGCGACCUGUGGUAAUUGUCCUCGUGCCUAAUCAAGCUCUAGAUGACUGACUAGGUGCUGACUCACCUGACCUCUAAGAGGAGUCUAUAUAUAUAUGGCGGACCAGUUUAUGCAUGCCUCAUUCUGCAAUGAAGAAAGUCCGACAUGGACUGAAACUUUUUCUCUUUUGCACAUUUCUUCACCGUCUGUUUGUAUGACUGUACAGCCCUUCAUGUGAAAUAUAGACAUUUGAAAGUUUGAAUCUCUAUUUCUCCAUUUUUUGCAGAGGCAGUCAUGUGCACUAAAGUUAGUAUCCUGAAAUUUCUAAUUUAUCUUCGACAUGCAAAAAAAACAACACAAAAAACAUUUCAAAUUUCAAAUUUAUUCUCCAAAUGCAAAAUGGGGCACAAAAAACCUCCCCUCAUUUUUUGAAUGCCUGACCCUAAUGCUCUGCUGUAAUGACCAGAGGUGAAACAUAGUCAGUUGUGAUUUGCCACAGGUUUUUCUGCAGAUUCAUAUGACUGCUGCACAAGCUUAUCUAGUGUGAUACGGAAAUGGAUUUGGAUUGUUUUUUUUGUCAGUUCUGUUGCCGUGCCAAAAAGAACCUUGAGCUUUUUUCUGCAAUGACUUGAACUGUACGUCGUACGACUUUAUUCUCUCUUUCAUCAGUAAAAUUGGUUGCUUUUAGGCUGCUGCUUUAAAAAAGGGAAGCUUUUCGCUGGCCGUCUGCAACAAUUGAAAUGUUAGAUUUCUUUGCAACGACAUAUUGUACAACAGAAACUUGCUGUUGCUGUUUAUUUGUGUGUUGGUUGAUUUGAACAAUUGAAAUGAUUACUCACUUAGCUACUCAUCUACGCAGAGUGGAGAACCUGCAGGCAGCGUGACACCGGGGAUAAAACAUGACACGAGCAAAUCAAGCUUCCUUUGUCCUGUUUGCCUUUGGAAUAUCACACACUGAGAAGCUAUUCACACUGCAUUUUCAGUCUUUGUCACACAUUUAUUUCACAUAAGGCCAAGGAGUUUUAUUGCAUCCCUACUCUGUUGUUUCCCCCCAAUCAAACUGAUCUUUAAAACAACUUGAUGCGUUCGUUUUCAGUAACCUCCGAUGCCUGCUUAUCAGUCACAGUAUAGGUGAGAAUGCCGGGCGCAUUAAACCAAAGUGCUACACUCCCCUUGUGAAAAUGACAUUAUCAUUGCAUGUGCUGUGGUGAAUUACAGUCAGUCUUGCUCUCCCCAAGUUAUCUAUGCUCUUUGAAGCUUGUGCCGCAUGUCUGCUAUUUCAAAUGUGUGAGAGAGAGCGAAGGAAGUGAGGGGGAGAUAGAGGGAGGGGAGGGGAUGGGAUGGGGGCAAGAAAGUGAGCAAGCUGCAAAUUGUGUGAAUAAGAGAUGGGUGUUUUUUCUCUAUUUUUAGCAGCAACCUUAUAUACUGUUACGCGGCGGUUGGAAGACUAAUCCACAGAAGUGCUGGCUCGCAAUAUCUGAACAGUAAUUAUAGGGGGAUUUUUUUUGUUAUCUUUGGCUGUCACCCAUCAUUGGAUCAGAAGUCCCUCAGCUAUAUGCAAAGGCCUGCCUGAAUUGCAGGGAGAAAAUCCAUGACAUGAGUGUUGCACGUGCCCAAAGACUCGAAUAUUAACAUCCUUCUGAUGGUACCCUGACAGAAUAAACAGAAUUUAUUCCCCCCCCUCAUGAAACACGUUCACGUGGCAGUGCCAGGUGCAUAAUCCUGCUACAAUGCUGUCGCUCCCCACUGGUUGUGGGAUCUGUUCUGCGCUCAGUGUUGUGAUGUGUUAUCAGAAAUUCCUCAGGAGCCUCAAUGCCUUGUCAAGGCAGCGUGAUGAUUUAGUUUCCUAGGCCUCUAAAAAGUAUUUGGUGGAAGUUUAUGUCUCUGACUUUUCAAGGUUAGUCCAUUCUGGUUAGAACAUUAUUUCUAACCUAAAUUGCGCUGACAAAUUCCCUACACCUUUUUUGUUGUUCCUGUAAUAGAAAUAAAAAUCGUUUCCCUCUUGACAGUCUAUUUCCCAGUGCAGUGAUAUCUGUUUUAAAAAAACCGAUGAGCAAAAGUUUUACAGCUCAAUUGCAGAGCAUUACUCGGAACAAACCUUUAGGGUAUUGUUUGGAUUGUGGAUCAAUAGUAUAACUUCUCCUGGACCUGAUCUACGUAGCUCUCAAAACGCCCCCACUGAUGGGGGGAGCUUCCUGUCUGAGAUCGUGUCUUGGCACAAAUUCUAGCUAAAUAAAUCAACAUAUAAAAUGAUAUGUUAAUGUUGAAAAUACAACAAUAAUUUUGACAAUUCCUUCCCUUUACUGUGCUUCCCCUUUUUUUUGUUGAGGUGGAUUUUGAUUUUAAUGCCGCAGUGAUACACUGAAGUAUAUCGCUAUCAAAUCGCUGUUCUACUAAUGUGGUGAAAUACACAAUUCUGUCAUGUUACUGCUCACCGUGCAUUAUUUAAACAAAUAUGAAAGAGAGAAUAAGUGACGAAUGAGAGUAAAAAUUCUCUUUGAAAUACCUUGUCAAAUACAUAUUAUUAAGCUAAAUUACAUUCAUCUGUGAAAAACAGAUCUGGACAAAAUGUGACAGCCUUGCAGUUAUGAAGAGUUGAGGCUGAAUAUCUAAUGCCAUUUUUAUUAAGGCUGUAUCUCCCAGUUUGAGUUUCAGAAACACGUAUGUAAUAACUGGAGAAGGAGAGAAUGUCAUGGUUGGAGAGUAUUUCUUUUUUUACCACUUCAUCAUUUUACCCUUGGAUAUCCUCUAAUUCCUCAAUAAACCGUUCAGUAAAUCCCCUGCACAGUAGAGGGGAAUGUGAUUUGGAAUUUUAAUAUGCGACCAUCGCAGGUGUAGGACACAUUUCGGUCUUCUUUGAGGUGAUUAAUUCCUCUCCUUCCUCCACUUAUGGUGUGGUUCCUGCACAGUCGCAGAUUCCUCACACCUCCUUACCCGGUGGGUUUUGCUGCGGUGAGAGAUUAGCUUCAUGCUCCCAGUGUUGCUAAUCAUGUAGAAGGAGUCACGUUGCGAGAGAGGUUGCAACCCAGUCUCACGGAAAAAGAGGCUUGCCGGAAUAGUGAGUGUGUGUGCACUCAGUAAGUGAAUGAUUGUUUUUCCAAGUGCUGAGUCAAGGAAUCUGGGAUGUUCUUCACGAUUCUUUAUUUUAUUUCUCUGAGUUUGCUCUAUACAGGCAGAUUAGUGAAAAUAAAAUGCUACAUUAACUGUGACCCUACGAGAUCUGCGCAUUGACACGAUCUCUCACAAUCUGUGCUGCUAUACUAAAAUAAAACCAUGCAACCUAAUUGAAGAAGUAAAGCCACGGGAGAUACUUCACUAAUAUCUCGCAGAUUGCAGUCAGCUUCACCAUCACAGCAAAAAUAAUUCAAACACUGACACAGACCACAAUCAUGACUACGGAUUAAUGUCAAAAACAUGCGGUGCAGCACUUUGGGGUACAGGUUGCUGCAUACCUCCACUUUGCUGCUGUGAUUUCAGGGAUGAUGGGGUUUAUAUGUAUUUGUGGAUUUUAGAUCUAUGGGAAGGAUUGAGGUGCAUGUUGUGUAAUUUAAGGGGGUAACAGUAUGUUGUGUUCCUGCUGAGGACUGAUUGCAAUUUGUGUUGUGGUGAUUACCACUAAUCCCAUUAACAAUAAGUACAUUCUACCUUACUUAUUUGCUGCCGGCCUUGUACAGAGGUUUGGAUAUUACUGAAGAAUAUUUAAAAUCUACUAAUUUCCGCAUUAUAUUUAAAAUUAUGUAUCUUCCAUCAUUAUAUUUCAUGCCCAUAAAAUGUGUGUGUUAACAUCACACAAGGCUGCACAGUCUACAAAGAGCAUUAAUAAUGUUGCAUUCCUCAGACUGUAUUUUCCUAGUGCUCACAAACACACAGCAAGUUAGUGAGGAUGUGGUGUUUUCAUCAUGGCUUCGCUGCAGUAUUUUUGUAAUUUUAUUAUUGAUGUUGUAUUUUUUUUGUUGUUGUAAGUUUUGGUAUAGGGAGCCCAUUUUCACCACAGUGGAUCUCUGGUUGUGUGUCAGUAUUUUUUUUUACGCCAAACAUAACUAAAUAACAUAAGCAGAUGUCUCUCCUACAGGAUAAGAAAGAUUAUAAUUACGCAACAUGCCCUGACAUACUUGAUGUCUAGACCUGUUACUAACAGGUCAAUGCAGGUCAUCCGCCUGCAUCAGUGGGCCUACACUUCCUCACAUGAGUGAGAAACCACAAUACUGGAAAACAUGAAGUUAGAAAUCCUGGGGGGCAUCAGGAUCACGUGUGAAAUAUAGAGCUUGCCACAGCUUGAUCACCCAGCCAGCAAAAGACCUAUGCACUGUGCAAAUAAGUCGUUUUUAGAAUUGUAUGCCUCCAGAUGAUGGGGUGCUUAAAGCUCAAUUCAAGUGUGGCAGCGAUGGUGCCAAGUUGGUCGGGGAUGUUUUAAAGCAAACAUCCUGCUUCCGAGUUUAUUAUUCAAAACUCCACACGGAGGAGAAACUGCUGUCGAGGCAGUCAUUUGAGUUUAGGCGGCAGACCAUGGGACACCUUGUGCACUCUGAAAAAUUUACAAUGCCUCCCCACUCCUUCCCAUCCCUGCGCUUAGAGGUGGACACCUCCAGCUUCCAUUAACCUUAAGAUGAAUGAGUAUGCUGUCAGCGGAGCCUGAUUGAAAACAUAUUUUUGGUCAGCAAGCUCUUGUCUAUGCAUCCCACUCGCCUCAUCCUACAUAUACUUAUCCUCUCUUCAAUACCAUUUGCUGAGCCACCUUUCCAACAUAAACGUUGUACUGCUGGCACAUCCAGGGACCCACGGAGGUCAUUCCGAAUAAAGAUUGCAUGCGUUUAAAAUUG